CUAGUAACUGCGAGUGAAGCGGGAAAAGCUCAAAUUUAAAAUCUGGCGGUCUUUGGCUGUCCGAGUUGUAAUCUAGAGAAGUGUUAUCCGCGCUGGACCGUGUACAAGUCUCCUGGAAUGGAGCGUCAUAGAGGGUGAGAAUCCCGUCUUUGACACGGACUGCCAGUGCUUUGUGAUGCGCUCUCAAAGAGUCGAGUUGUUUGGGAAUGCAGCUCAAAAUGGGUGGUAAAUUCCAUCUAAAGCUAAAUAUUGGCGAGAGACCGAUAGCGAACAAGUACCGUGAGGGAAAGAUGAAAAGAACUUUGGAAAGAGAGUUAAACAGUACGUGAAAUUGUUGAAAGGGAAACGCUUGAAGUCAGUCGCGUCGUCCGGGGAUCAACCUUGCUUUUGCUGGGUGUACUUUCCGGUUGACGGGUCAGCAUCAAUUUUGACCGUUGGAUAAAGUUCAGGGGAAUGUGGCAUCUUCGGAUGUGUUAUAGCCCUUGGUCGCAUACAACGAUUGGGAUUGAGGAACUCAGCACGCCGCAAGGCCGGGAAUUUAUUCCACGUUCGUGCUCAGGAUGCUGGCAUAAUGGCUUUAAUCGACCCGUCUUGAAACACGGACCAAGGAGUCUAACAUGCCUGCGAGUGUUUGGGUGGGAAAACCCGAGCGCGUAAUGAAAGUGAAAGUUGAGAUCCCUGUCGCGGGGAGCAUCGACGCCCGGACCAGACCUUUUGUGACGGAUCCGCGGUAGAGCAUGUAUGUUGGGACCCGAAAGAUGGUGAACUAUGCCUGAAUAGGGUGAAGCCAGAGGAAACUCUGGUGGAGGCUCGUAGCGAUUCUGACGUGCAAAUCGAUCGUCAAAUUUGGGUAUAGGGGCGAAAGACUAAUCGA
RNAcentral lists this ribosomal RNA (874 nucleotides) under Kuehneromyces mutabilis. Its description in RNAcentral is "LSU rRNA". It matches the Rfam family "Eukaryotic large subunit ribosomal RNA", at positions 80 to 938 of the family's 3401-position model. The record is from RNAcentral. Lineage: Eukaryota; Fungi; Basidiomycota; Agaricomycetes; Agaricales; Kuehneromycetaceae.